UACAGAGGUCCCAAGCGUUAAUCGGAAUUACUGGGCGUAAAGCGUGCGCAGGCGGUUUUGUAAGUUUGUCGUGAAAUCCCCGGGCUCAACCUGGGGAUGGCGAUGAAGACUGCAAGGCUAGAGUUUGGCAGAGGGGGGUAGAAUUCCACGUGUAGCAGUGAAAUGCGUAGAGAUGUGGAGGAACACCGAUGGCGAAGGCAGCCCCCUGGGUCAAGACUGACGCUCAUGCACGAAAGCGUGGGGAGCAAACAGG
This 253-nucleotide ribosomal RNA is filed under the name uncultured bacterium. RNAcentral describes it as "partial 16S ribosomal RNA". It matches the Rfam family "Bacterial small subunit ribosomal RNA", at positions 524 to 776 of the family's 1533-position model. The record is from RNAcentral.